UUAAGCGACUAAGCGUACACGGUGGAUGCCCUGGCAGUCAGAGGCGAUGAAGGACGUGCUAAUCUGCGAUAAGCGUCGGUAAGGUGAUAUGAACCGUUAUAACCGGCGAUUUCCGAAUGGGGAAACCCAGUGUGUUUCGACACACUAUCAUUAACUGAAUCCAUAGGUUAAUGAGGCGAACCGGGGGAACUGAAACAUCUAAGUACCCCGAGGAAAAGAAAUCAACCGAGAUUCCCCCAGUAGCGGCGAGCGAACGGGGAGCAGCCCAGAGCCUGAAUCAGUGUGUGUAUUAGUGGAAGCGUCUGGAAAGGCGCGCGAUACAGGGUGACAGCCCCGUACACAAAAAUGCACAUGCUGUGAGCUCGAUGAGUAGGGCGGGACACGUGGUAUCCUGUCUGAAUAUGGGGGGACCAUCCUCCAAGGCUAAAUACUCCUGACUGACCGAUAGUGAACCAGUACCGUGAGGGAAAGGCGAAAAGAACCCCGGCGAGGGGAGUGAAAAAGAACCUGAAACCGUGUACGUACAAGCAGUGGGAGCCUCUUUAUGGGGUGACUGCGUACCUUUUGUAUAAUGGGUCAGCGACUUAUAUUCUGUAGCAAGGUUAACCGAAUAGGGGAGCCGAAGGGAAACCGAGUCUUAACUGGGCGUUAAGUUGCAGGGUAUAGACCCGAAACCCGGUGAUCUAGCCAUGGGCAGGUUGAAGGUUGGGUAACACUAACUGGAGGACCGAACCGACUAAUGUUGAAAAAUUAGCGGAUGACUUGUGGCUGGGGGUGAAAGGCCAAUCAAACCGGGAGAUAGCUGGUUCUCCCCGAAAGCUAUUUAGGUAGCGCCUCGUGAAUUCAUCUCCGGGGGUAGAGCACUGUUUCGGCAAGGGGGUCAUCCCGACUUACCAACCCGAUGCAAACUGCGAAUACCGGAGAAUGUUAUCACGGGAGACACACGGCGGGUGCUAACGUCCGUCGUGAAGAGGGAAACAACCCAGACCGCCAGCUAAGGUCCCAAAGUCAUGGUUAAGUGGGAAACGAUGUGGGAAGGCCCAGACAGCCAGGAUGUUGGCUUAGAAGCAGCCAUCAUUUAAAGAAAGCGUAAUAGCUCACUGGUCGAGUCGGCCUGCGCGGAAGAUGUAACGGGGCUAAACCAUGCACCGAAGCUGCGGCAGCGACGCUUAUGCGUUGUUGGGUAGGGGAGCGUUCUGUAAGCCUGCGAAGGUGUGCUGUGAGGCAUGCUGGAGGUAUCAGAAGUGCGAAUGCUGACAUAAGUAACGAUAAAGCGGGUGAAAAGCCCGCUCGCCGGAAGACCAAGGGUUCCUGUCCAACGUUAAUCGGGGCAGGGUGAGUCGACCCCUAAGGCGAGGCCGAAAGGCGUAGUCGAUGGGAAACAGGUUAAUAUUCCUGUACUUGGUGUUACUGCGAAGGGGGGACGGAGAAGGCUAUGUUGGCCGGGCGACGGUUGUCCCGGUUUAAGCGUGUAGGCUGGUUUUCCAGGCAAAUCCGGAAAAUCAAGGCUGAGGCGUGAUGACGAGGCACUACGGUGCUGAAGCAACAAAUGCCCUGCUUCCAGGAAAAGCCUCUAAGCAUCAGGUAACAUCAAAUCGUACCCCAAACCGACACAGGUGGUCAGGUAGAGAAUACCAAGGCGCUUGAGAGAACUCGGGUGAAGGAACUAGGCAAAAUGGUGCCGUAACUUCGGGAGAAGGCACGCUGAUAUGUAGGUGAAGCGACUUGCUCGUGGAGCUGAAAUCAGUCGAAGAUACCAGCUGGCUGCAACUGUUUAUUAAAAACACAGCACUGUGCAAACACGAAAGUGGACGUAUACGGUGUGACGCCUGCCCGGUGCCGGAAGGUUAAUUGAUGGGGUUAGCGGUAACGCGAAGCUCUUGAUCGAAGCCCCGGUAAACGGCGGCCGUAACUAUAACGGUCCUAAGGUAGCGAAAUUCCUUGUCGGGUAAGUUCCGACCUGCACGAAUGGCGUAAUGAUGGCCAGGCUGUCUCCACCCGAGACUCAGUGAAAUUGAACUCGCUGUGAAGAUGCAGUGUACCCGCGGCAAGACGGAAAGACCCCGUGAACCUUUACUAUAGCUUGACACUGAACAUUGAGCCUUGAUGUGUAGGAUAGGUGGGAGGCUUUGAAGUGUGGACGCCAGUCUGCAUGGAGCCGGCCUUGAAAUACCACCCUUUAAUGUUUGAUGUUCUAACGUUGGCCCCUGAUCGGGGUUGCGGACAGUGUCUGGUGGGUAGUUUGACUGGGGCGGUCUCCUCCUAAAGAGUAACGGAGGAGCACGAAGGUUGGCUAAUCCUGGUCGGACAUCAGGAGGUUAGUGCAAUGGCAUAAGCCAGCUUGACUGCGAGCGUGACGGCGCGAGCAGGUGCGAAAGCAGGUCAUAGUGAUCCGGUGGUUCUGAAUGGAAGGGCCAUCGCUCAACGGAUAAAAGGUACUCCGGGGAUAACAGGCUGAUACCGCCCAAGAGUUCAUAUCGACGGCGGUGUUUGGCACCUCGAUGUCGGCUCAUCACAUCCUGGGGCUGAAGUAGGUCCCAAGGGUAUGGCUGUUCGCCAUUUAAAGUGGUACGCGAGCUGGGUUUAGAACGUCGUGAGACAGUUCGGUCCCUAUCUGCCGUGGGCGCUGGAGAACUGAGGGGGGCUGCUCCUAGUACGAGAGGACCGGAGUGGACGCAUCACUGGUGUUCGGGUUGUCAUGCCAAUGGCACUGCCCGGUAGCUAAAUGCGGAAGAGAUAAGUGCUGAAAGCAUCUAAGCACGAAACUUGCCCCGAGAUGAGUUCUCCCUGAGACUUUAAGUCUCCUGAAGGAACGUUGAAGACGACGACGUUGAUAGGCCGGGUGUGUAAGCGCAGCGAUGCGUUGAGCUAACCGGUACUAAUGAACCGUGAGGCUUAACCUU
RNAcentral lists this ribosomal RNA (2903 nucleotides) under Escherichia coli. RNAcentral's name for it is "bacterial LSU rRNA". It matches the Rfam family "Bacterial large subunit ribosomal RNA". The record is from RNAcentral. Lineage: Bacteria; Pseudomonadati; Pseudomonadota; Gammaproteobacteria; Enterobacterales; Enterobacteriaceae.